UUGGCUUAUAGUUUACUAUGGACAGCUAACUUAACAAAUUAACAGUUAAUACAUUUAUACAUUUAGUGAUUCGAGGUUACAGUAAAUUUGAGAAGAUAUAGAAUCAAUAGAAGACUCAAAAGAUAUACAUUGAUAGGCUAAAUUAUAAUAAGUACAUAAAACACGGAAUCGUUCAUGAAGGGAAAAAUUAGAUCUCACAAUUGGUAGACGGAUAGGUCGGAAGGCACGAGUGUAUCUUGACGGGACUGCAAUAUUUAUGUCUCUCAACAGAGUAGGAGAACACACCGCACCGGUCAGCAGUUUGUGUAUAAAUAUUACGCCGUUACAAAAUCUGCGGUGUUUUAAGGUGUUUAGGUCAAUCAAUUUUAGCCUGCACAAAUAAGGUGGUGAGUGCCGAUCAUGAUCCCAAUUAAGGUUGCGCAAAGCAAAUAACAAAAAUUGUUUUCGAACCGAUUCUAUUAAGUUCUGUUGGUAUUCCAUACCUCAGAACAGUACUUAAUAAUUGGGCGAACUAGGCUUACGUAUAACGAUUUAGUUGUAUACGGAUCAUUGAACUGCUUUUCCCAACGCUUAAUAAAGGCUAAGACGCCAGUAGCUUUAUUAACUAUAACUGAGAUAUGGCUAUUGAAACAAAGUUUUUGAUCGAACAACGCACAAAAAUAAUUAAUUUUCACCAGGCGCUCCAAUAAGGAGUUUCUAAGGGUGUACGAGGUUGUGUGAAAAGUAGUGCGGAAGAACGACAUUGUUUUGCAUUUUGAAUAAUUUAGUGAUAACAAGUUUGUUGAGGCCCAAGCCUGAAACUUAUUGAGGUCAGGCUGAAUAAGAAGAUGUGAGCUUAAAUUAGAAAACGACAUACAGAUUUUCACAUCA
Drosophila biarmipes is the source of this 870-nucleotide long non-coding RNA. RefSeq lists it as uncharacterized. NCBI's taxonomy places the organism in Eukaryota, Metazoa, Arthropoda, Insecta, Diptera, Drosophilidae. The transcript is spliced from 3 exons. The record is from RefSeq and is a predicted model, not a curated record.